CGCUGGCGGCAGGCCUAACACAUGCAAGUCGAGCGGAUGAAGGGAGCUUGCUCCCUGAUUUAGCGGCGGACGGGUGAGUAAUGCCUAGGAAUCUGCCUGGUAGUGGGGGAUAACGUUCCGAAAGGAACGCUAAUACCGCAUACGUCCUACGGGAGAAAGCAGGGGACCUUCGGGCCUUGCGCUAUCAGAUGAGCCUAGGUCGGAUUAGCUAGUUGGUGAGGUAAUGGCUCACCAAGGCGACGAUCCGUAACUGGUCUGAGAGGAUGAUCAGUCACACUGGAACUGAGACACGGUCCAGACUCCUACGGGAGGCAGCAGUGGGGAAUAUUGGACAAUGGGCGAAAGCCUGAUCCAGCCAUGCCGCGUGUGUGAAGAAGGUCUUCGGAUUGUAAAGCACUUUAAGUUGGGAGGAAGGGCAGUAAGCUAAUACCUUGCUGUUUUGACGUUACCGACAGAAUAAGCACCGGCUAACUUCGUGCCAGCAGCCGCGGUAAUACGAAGGGUGCAAGCGUUAAUCGGAAUUACUGGGCGUAAAGCGCGCGUAGGUGGUUCGUUAAGUUGGAUGUGAAAGCCCCGGGCUCAACCUGGGAACUGCAUCCAAAACUGGCGAGCUAGAGUACGGUAGAGGGUGGUGGAAUUCCCUGUGUAGCGGUGAAAUGCGUAGAUAUAGGAAGGAACACCAGUGGCGAAGGCGACCACCUGGACUGAUACUGACACUGAGGUGCGAAAGCG
This 732-nucleotide ribosomal RNA is filed under the name uncultured bacterium. Its description in RNAcentral is "bacterial SSU rRNA". It matches the Rfam family "Bacterial small subunit ribosomal RNA", at positions 34 to 761 of the family's 1533-position model. The record is from RNAcentral.